Octodon degus (degu) is the source of this 601-nucleotide RNA transcript. It is a transcript of the gene named 14-3-3 protein epsilon pseudogene, with no coding region annotated. The transcript has a single exon. NCBI's taxonomy places the organism in Eukaryota, Metazoa, Chordata, Mammalia, Rodentia, Octodontidae. The record is from RefSeq and is a predicted model, not a curated record.
GUUAUCCGCUUCCAUCCGUCGCGCAGACCCUGCCGGAGCCGCUGCCGCUAUGGAUGAUCGGGAGGAUCUGGUGUACCAGGCGAAGCUGGCCGAGCAGGCUGAGCGAUAUGACGAAAUGGUUGAAUCAAUGAAGAAAGUAGCAGGAAUGGAUGUGGAGCUGACAGUUGAAGAAAGAAACCUCCUAUCUGUUGCAUAUAAAAAUGUGAUUGGAGCUAGAAGAGCCUCCUGGAGAAUAAUUAGCAGCAUUGAACAGAAAGAAGAAAACAAGGGAGGAGAAGACAAACUAAAAAUGAUUCUAGAAUAUCGGCAAAUGGUUGAGACUGAGCUAAAGUUAAUCUGUUGUGACAUUCUGGAUGUACUGGACAAACACCUCAUUCCAGCAGCUAACACUGGCGAGUCCAAGGUUUUCUAUUAUAAAAUGAAAGGGGACUACCACAGGUAUCUGGCUGAAUUUGCCACAGGAAAUGAUAGGAAGGAGGCUGCAGAGAACAGCCUAGUGGCUUAUAAAGCUGCUAGUGAUAUUGCAAUGACAGAACUUCACCAACGCAUCCUAUUAGUUUAGGUCUUGCUCUCAACUUUUCUGUAUUCUACUAUGAAAUUC